AACGAACGCUGGCGGCAUGCCUAACACAUGCAAGUCGAACGAAGUCUUCGGACUUAGUGGCGCACGGGUGCGUAACGCGUGGGAAUCUGCCCUUGGGUACGGAAUAACUCAGAGAAAUUUGUGCUAAUACCGUAUAAUGUCUUCGGACCAAAGAUUUAUCGCCCAAGGAUGGGCCCGCGUAAGAUUAGCUAGUUGGUGGGGUAAAAGCCUACCAAGGCGACGAUCUUUAGCUGGUCUGAGAGGAUGAUCAGCCACACUGGGACUGAGACACGGCCCAGACUCCUACGGGAGGCAGCAGUGGGGAAUAUUGGACAAUGGGCGAAAGCCUGAUCCAGCAAUGCCGCGUGAGUGAUGAAGGCCCUAGGGUUGUAAAGCUCUUUUACCAGGGAUGAUAAUGGCAGUACCUGGAGAAUAAGCUCCGGCUAACUCCGUG
RNAcentral lists this ribosomal RNA (433 nucleotides) under uncultured bacterium. RNAcentral describes it as "partial 16S ribosomal RNA". It matches the Rfam family "Bacterial small subunit ribosomal RNA", at positions 29 to 507 of the family's 1533-position model. The record is from RNAcentral.